UUAUUUUGGCAGAUUAGUGUGUAUGAUUUAGAAUCAUUUUAAGUAAUAUUUAUUACAGGUAAUAU
Molecule: transfer RNA, 65 nt
Filed under: Metanoeus sp. UPOL 000121
Lineage: Eukaryota; Metazoa; Arthropoda; Insecta; Coleoptera; Lycidae
Description: tRNA-Leu
Source: RNAcentral